GAUGAAGAACGUAGCGAAAUGCGAUAAGUAAUGUGAAUUGCAGAAUUCAGUGAAUCAUCGAAUCUUUGAACGCACCUUGCGCUCUUUGGUAUUCCGAAGAGCAUGCCUGUUUGAGUGUCAUGAAAAUAUCAACCUUGACUUGGGUUUUGUGCUCUAGUCUCGGCUUGGAAUUGGGUGCUUGCCGCUUUUACGAGCGGCUCACCUUAAAUGUAUUAGCUGGAUCUGUCUUUGAGACUUGGUUUGACUUGGCGUAAUAAGUAUUUCGCUAAGGACAUUCUUCGGAGUGGCCUCGUUUCUAGGACGCUUGUCCGCUUUCCAAUACAAGUUCCACCUCGUGGACAUGACUUUUUAUUAUCUGGCCUCAAAUCAGGUAGGACUACCCGCUGAACUUAAGCAUAUCAAUAAACGGAGGA
This 413-nucleotide unclassified non-coding RNA is filed under the name soil metagenome. RNAcentral's name for it is "partial contains 5.8S ribosomal RNA, internal transcribed spacer 2, and large subunit ribosomal RNA". The stretch from base 1 to 120 matches the Rfam family "5.8S ribosomal RNA", at positions 35 to 154 of the family's 154-position model. The record is from RNAcentral.